UACGGAGGGAGCUAGCGUUGUUCGGAAUUACUGGGCGUAAAGCGCACGUAGGCGGCGAUUCAAGUCAGAGGUGAAAGCCCGGGGCUCAACCCCGGAACUGCCUUUGAAACUAGAUCGCUAGAAUCCUGGAGAGGCGGGUGGAAUUCCGAGUGUAGAGGUGAAAUUCGUAGAUAUUCGGAAGAACACCAGUGGCGAAGGCGGCCCGCUGGACAGGUAUUGACGCUGAGGUGCGAAAGCGUGGGGGGCAAACAGG
RNAcentral lists this ribosomal RNA (253 nucleotides) under uncultured bacterium. Its description in RNAcentral is "partial 16S ribosomal RNA". It matches the Rfam family "Bacterial small subunit ribosomal RNA", at positions 524 to 776 of the family's 1533-position model. The record is from RNAcentral.